Molecule: ribosomal RNA, 253 nt
Filed under: uncultured bacterium
Lineage: Bacteria
Description: partial 16S ribosomal RNA
Rfam family: Bacterial small subunit ribosomal RNA
Source: RNAcentral
UACGAAGGGGGCUAGCGUUGUUCGGAAUUACUGGGCGUAAAGCGCACGUAGGCGGAUAUUUAAGUCAGGGGUGAAAUCCCAGAGCUCAACUCUGGAACUGCCUUUGAUACUGGGUGUCUUGAAUAUGGAAGAGGUGAGUGGAAUUCCGAGUGUAGAGGUGAAAUUCGUAGAUAUUCGGAGGAACACCAGUGGCGAAGGCGGCUCACUGGUCCGUUACUGACGCUGAGGUGCGAAAGCGUGGGGAGCAAACAGG